Molecule: non-coding RNA, 874 nt
Filed under: Barycholos ternetzi (Savage's Goias frog)
Lineage: Eukaryota; Metazoa; Chordata; Amphibia; Anura; Craugastoridae
Description: partial small subunit ribosomal RNA
Rfam family: Bacterial small subunit ribosomal RNA
Source: RNAcentral
GCGUCCCGGUGAAAACGUCCAAUAAAUUCACCCACAGAAAUUAAAAGACUGGUAUCAGGCACAUUCAAUAGCCUAAAACACCUAGCCUCACCACACCCCCACGGGCCUGCAGCAGUGAUAAAUAUUAUCACAUAAACGCAAGUUUGAAUUAAUCAGGGAAAAAAGAGUUGUCAAAUAGUGGUGCCAGCAGUCGCGGCUACACCUCAUAACUCAAAUUGACUUCAAUCGGCGUAAAGAGUGGUACAAAUCAACCCCCCUCCCCCGCUAGAGUUUAAAUUUAACUCUCCCCAGUGGCACAAGAGUUAAAGUAAAGCCAUCAACGAAAGUCACUCUAACACCCAUUUUACCCACGUAAGCCAGGAAACAAACUGGAAUUAGAUACCCCACUAUGCCUAGCCGUAAACUUUCACUUACUUCCUUCUCGCCAGGGAACUACGAGCCAAGCUUAAAACCCAAAGGACUUGACGGUACUCACACCCCCCUAGAGGAGCCUGUCCCAUAAUCGAUGACCCCCGAUCAACCUCACCAUUUUUAGCUUAUCAACCUGUAUACCUCCGUCUAGCUUACCACAUGAGUGAUCUUUAGUAAGCCACAAGUUUUGACAACCAUAAGCCAGGUCAAGGUGCAGUUAAUAAAACGGGCAAAGAUGGGCUACAUUUUCUAUUUUAGAAAAUACGGAAAAACUUUUGCAACAAAGUCAGAAGGAGGAUUUAGUAGUAAAAAGAAAACAGAGUGUUCUUUUUAAUAUACGCACUGGAGCGAGUACACACCGCCCGUCACCCUCUUCGAACAUCAUAUCUAGUUAUAUACACCAAAAUAAAAAGAGAAGAGGCAAGUCGUAACAUGGUAAGUAUACCGGAAGGUGUACUUGGAA